UUGUUUUUGUUACGAUAGUUUACAUUCAUUACACAUUGUUUUGGUGGUUUUGAGCCCGGGGCCCGAGAGCCCCAAGACGUACACAGUUCACAGGGUGUGUGGAAUAGACACGGCCAGAGGCCAAUCUCUAAUGAUCCUUCCGCAGGUUCACCUACGGAGA
RNAcentral lists this unclassified non-coding RNA (160 nucleotides) under uncultured fungus. Its description in RNAcentral is "sequence contains ITS1". The record is from RNAcentral. Lineage: Eukaryota; Fungi.